RNAcentral lists this ribosomal RNA (747 nucleotides) under soil bacterium Slfm-S1P-M1LLLSSL-2. Its description in RNAcentral is "bacterial SSU rRNA". It matches the Rfam family "Bacterial small subunit ribosomal RNA", at positions 96 to 840 of the family's 1533-position model. The record is from RNAcentral.
UGGCGACGGGUGAGUAUACAUCGGAACGUGUCCUGGAGUGGGGGAUAGCCCGGCGAAAGCCGGAUUAAUACCGCAUACGCUCUACGGAGGAAAGGGGGGGAUCUUUCGGGACCUCUCGCUCAAGGGGCGGCCGAUGGCAGAUUAGCUAGUUGGUGGGGUAAAGGCCUACCAAGGCGACGAUCUGUAGCUGGUCUGAGAGGACGACCAGCCACACUGGGACUGAGACACGGCCCAGACUCCUACGGGAGGCAGCAGUGGGGAAUUUUGGACAAUGGGCGCAAGCCUGAUCCAGCAAUGCCGCGUGUGUGAAGAAGGCCUUCGGGUUGUAAAGCACUUUUGUCCGGAAAGAAAUCCCUUGCCCUAAUACGGCGGGGGGAUGACGGUACCGGAAGAAUAAGCACCGGCUAACUACGUGCCAGCAGCCGCGGUAAUACGUAGGGUGCAAGCGUUAAUCGGAAUUACUGGGCGUAAAGCGUGCGCAGGCGGUUCGCUAAGACAGAUGUGAAAUCCCCGGGCUUAACCUGGGAACUGCAUUUGUGACUGGCGGGCUAGAGUAUGGCAGAGGGGGGUAGAAUUCCACGUGUAGCAGUGAAAUGCGUAGAGAUGUGGAGGAAUACCGAUGGCGAAGGCAGCCCCCUGGGCCAAUACUGACGCUCAUGCACGAAAGCGUGNGGAGCAAACAGGAUUAGAUACCCUGGUAGUCCACGCCCUAAACGAUGUCAACUAGUUGUCGGGUCUUCAUUGACU